UGUAAUUUAUUAUGAAGGAUGUUGUUGCA
This 29-nucleotide non-coding RNA is filed under the name Mus musculus (house mouse). Lineage: Eukaryota; Metazoa; Chordata; Mammalia; Rodentia; Muridae. The record is from RNAcentral.